CAGGCUUAAUACAUGCAAGUCGUGGGGUAGAGAGGUGCUUGCACUUCUUGAGACCGGCAAACGGGUGCGGAACACGUACACAACCUUCCUUUUAGAGGGGGAUAGCCCAGGGAAACUUGGAUUAAUACCCCGUAAGAUGUUGGUGAGGCAUCUCACUGAUAUUAUAGCAGCGAUGCGCUAGAAGACGGGUAUGCGUAUGAUUAGGUAGUUGGCGGGGUAAUGGCCCACCAAGCCUACGAUCAUUAACUGGUGUGAGAGCACGACCAGUCACACGGGCACUGAGACACGGGCCCGACUCCUACGGGAGGCAGCAGUAAGGAAUAUUGGUCAAUGGACGCAAGUCUGAACCAGCCAUGCCGCGUGGAGGAUGAAGGUCCUCUGGAUUGUAAACUUCUUUUAUCUGGGGCGAAAAAGGGUCUUUCUAGAUCAACUGACGGUACCAGAUGAAUAAGCACCGGCUAACUCCGUGCCAGCAGCCGCGGUAAUACGGAGGGUGCAAGCGUUAUCCGGAUUCACUGGGUUUAAAGGGAGCGUAGGUGGGCUAGUAAGUCAGUGGUGAAAUCUCCGAGCUUAACUUGGAAACUGCCAUUGAUACUAUUGGUCUUGAAUAUUGUGGAGGUUAGCGGAAUAUGUCAUGUAGCGGUGAAAUGCAUAGAUAUGACAUAGAACACCAAUUGCGAAGGCAGCUGGCUACACAUAUAUUGACACUGAGGCUCGAAAGCGUGGGGAUCAAACAGGAUUAGAUACCCUGGUAGUCCACGCCCUAAACUAUGGAUACUCGACA
RNAcentral lists this ribosomal RNA (784 nucleotides) under uncultured bacterium. RNAcentral describes it as "bacterial SSU rRNA". It matches the Rfam family "Bacterial small subunit ribosomal RNA", at positions 43 to 822 of the family's 1533-position model. The record is from RNAcentral.